RNAcentral lists this long non-coding RNA (28561 nucleotides) under Gossypium barbadense (sea-island cotton). RNAcentral describes it as "long non-coding RNA (GBAR_LNC008177)". The stretch from base 12462 to 12568 matches the Rfam family "Plant small nucleolar RNA R71". The record is from RNAcentral. Lineage: Eukaryota; Viridiplantae; Streptophyta; Magnoliopsida; Malvales; Malvaceae.
GAUUAAACAACUAAUAAACUCUUGAACAAAUAUUAGGUUAUCAAAUAACUAUAAAAAAAUUAUAACAUUUGAUGACAAAAGCUUUUGAUCUUUAUUUUAGUGAUGAUUUAGUAUCAACAUAUAAUCUAUUUAUUUAUAUUUUUAAUUCUCAUAAAGGAGUAAAGGAAAAAAAUUGUUAACCAAUAUAUUUUUAAUUAUUUUAUUAAUCACUAAAGAUUUGGUUGAUGUAUUAAAAUGUGGCGUGACUUUAUUGAGUGAAACUACUCCUUCAACGAUAAAAUUUGAAUACUAAAAAGGUCUAUAUUGUUAUAAAAUAAAGAAAGAUGGAGAGAAUAAAGAAUAAAGAAAAUAUGAAAGUAAUAGAGAAUGUACUUUAUUAAUUAAAUGGAUGAUUACAAUGCUUCAUUAGAGUCUCAAUUUAUAGGCAUAAGAAGUAUAAAAGAAGUAGAAAUCUAAUUCUAAUAACUAUUAGAAUUUCAAGUACAUCAAAACUUUAUCCUGAUCAUAAUGGACAUCCACUUAAUAAGAUAUUCAUAACACUCCCCCUUGGAUGUCCAUUGGUAGAUAAUGUGCCUCGUUAAAACCUUAUUAGGAAAAAUCUUGUGGGAUAAAAAUCUAAUGCAGGAAAAAGAGUACACAAUCUUUUAUUACAAGUUGCCUUAUUAAAAACCUUUACCAAAAAACUCAAUGGGACAAAACCUUGGUUAAAGGAAAAGAGUACAACUUGUUUUAGACUCCCCCUAAUGGCAACAUUACAUUACAUCUUUAAGUUGACGUAAUCCAAUUUUGUGUUGGAGUCUUUCAAAUGUUGAAGUUGGCAAUGCCGUAGUAAAAAGAUAUGCUAAAUCAUCACUAGAACGAAUUUGUUGAACAUUUAUAUCACCUCUUUUCUCAAGAUCAUGGGUGAAGAAUAAUUUUGGUGAAAUAUGUUUCGUUCUAUCACAUUUGAUGUAACUACCCUUCAAUUGAGCUAUACAUGUUGCAUUAUAUUCAUAUAAGAUAGUUGGCAUCUUUUCCUAUAAAGGCAAAUUACAUAUCUUCUGGAUAUGUUGGGUUAGUAGUCUUAGCCAAACACACUCUCGACUUGUCUCAUGUAUUGCAAUUAUUUCUGCAUGAUUUGAAGAAGUAGCAGUUAAUGUUUACUUUGUCGAACGCCAUGAUAUUUUAGUACCCUCUCAUGUAAAUAAAUAUCCUGUUUGAGAUGGACCUUUAUGUGGAUCUGAUAGAUAUCCAACAUCAGCAUAGCCAACAAAUAGAGAUUUUGAAUCAUUUGAAUAAAAUAACCUCAUAUCAGUAGUCCCUCUAAAAUAUCUAAAUAUUUGUUUAAUUCCAUUCCAAUGUUUACAUGUUGGAGAAGAAUUAAAUCUUGCUAACAAGUUUACAGCGAAAGCUAUAUCAGGUCUUGUGUUGUUUGCAAGAUACAUCAAUGCUUCUAUGGCACUUAGACAUGGUACUUUAGGACCAAGAAACUCUUCAUCAUUCUCGCAAGGACAAAAUUAAUCUUUAUUCACAUCUAAUGACUAUACAACCAUCAGAGUACUUAAUUGGUUGCUUUAUCCAUGUAAAAUUUCAAUAAUAUCUUUUCCAAAUAAGUUGAUUAAUGAAUAUGAAUUUUAUCUUUUAAAUGCUCGAUUUGUAAGCCAAUAUAAAACUUUUUUUCCAAGAUCUUUCAUUUCAAAUUUUUUCUUUAAACAAUUUAUUGUAUUUUGAAGCUUUUCAGGAGUUCCAAUAAUAUUUAGAUCAUCAACAUAAACAACAAUUAUCACAAAUUUUGAUCCAAACCUUUUUAUAAAGACUCAUGGAUAAAUUGGAUCAUUUUUAUAACCUUAUUUUAACAAAUAUUCACUAAGACAAUUGUACCACAUACGUCCAGAUUGUUUUAAUCUAUAUAAACUUUUAUUUAAUCUGAUCGAGCAAUUUUCUCAAGAAACUCUAUAUCCUUCUGGGAGUUUAAAUCCUUAAGGGAUUUUCAUAUAAAUUUCACUAUCAAGUGUACCAUAUAAAUAGGACGUAACAACAUCCAUUAGAUACAUGUAAAGUUUUUCACAUACUGCCAAACUAAUAAUAUAUCUAAACGUGAUUACAUCCACCAUAGAAGAAUAUGUCUCUUCAUAAUUAAUGCUGGGCUUUUGCAAAAAUCCUUGUGCUACAAGUCGAGCUUUAUAUCUUACGGCUUUACUCCUUUAGGUGUUUGGACUAUAGGUCCAAAAACUUCACGUUCAGAAAGUGAAUUCAAUUUUGCUUGAAUUGCAUUUUUCAAUUUUGGCCAAUCAUUUCUAUUUUUUACAUUCCUUGUUAGAUUUAGGCCCAUGAUCCUCAUUUUCUUUUGUUAUUUCAAUAGCAACAUUAUAAGCAAAAUUUUUGUCGACAACUAUAUUUUUUUGUUCCAUCUUUUUCUCAUAUUGACAUAACGUAUUGAGAUCUCUUUAUUUUCAUCAUUUCCAUUUUCACUUUUAGGUACCUAAAUCUUUUCUUGAGUCUUAUAAUUAGUUAUGUCAUGGGUCUCUUCAGGAACCCCCGCCUCCACAAUAUGACCAUCUUGAAUGUUUGCUCCUUUUUUUUUUACGAUGAUUUUUAUCUUUGGAACCGAACGGUCUUCGACGCUUUAUGCAUGAAUUACUUUCUUUUGUAUUAAUAGUUUUCCAUAUUAGGACAUCAAUUUGUAUUGGAGCAUUUUUAGCUUGUAUGUGAGACUUAAUGAAUCUGGCAGUUGAUUUACAAAAUGAAUUAUCUAUUAAACUUCUAAUUCACGUUGCUUUGUUUGAAGAUCUUUGACAUUUAGUUAUAUAUUCCAACUGCUCCACCAUAACGUACGAAGAUGAGUCAUCAUAAGAGAUUGAGAAUGUAUAUUCAUAUAAGUCUCCUUAUAAUAUUUUUGAACUAUUAAUUUGAUGUUUAGUUAUGACAUGAGUUGUCAAUUUUCUCAACAUUAGAGGGAGAGAAUAAAAAGCUGGAUUAAUAAAGUGCUUGAAAUGAAUUAUCAAUGUCUAAGCCAAUAAAAAGCUUAUUAUGACUCAUCUUAGACACAUCUACCAAAAUCAUAUAAUAUCAAAACCAUCCGCAUGGUGGAUGAAUAGGCUCAUAUUUCAGAAAUGCAAGACAUUAAAUCUCAACUUUAACUAGUGAGUUUCUAAGAAUCAAUUUUCAUUUAGAACAAGCAACAAAUGAGAAUUCUUUAAAUUAAAGAAUCUUCUGGUUCUUUAAUAAUGUUCAUAUGAAUUAUCAAUUAAUUUUCGCAUCAUAUAUGAUCUAAGAUGGUCUAAUUGGUCACGCCAAGUAGUAAAUGCAUGUGUAUUAGUAAACGUGGUUUACUUUAACAUGUGUUUCUAUUGUACUACAUUGUAACAAAUUGAUAAUUUUAUUAUCAUUUCUUUUAAUUUGUAUCCACAUGUAAGUACUAUUGUGACAUUUACUACUGAAAAUGUCCAAAACAAUUUGAAUUCUAUAAUGUCAUUAAGUCAAUAAAUAUAAUUUCUAAAUAAUUAUAUGCAAUAUUCGCUUCAGGGAAUAGCAAAUUUUGUGCUUUUUAGAUAUUAAUAUAUUAGCUAUUCUGGAGCUUUCAACUAAUUUUGUACUAUCAAAUAUUGGAAUAAUAUUUGUUUGUUUCAGUACCAAAUAAGAUAAAUAUUUUCUAUUUAUAAUGAUAGAAUUCAUUACUACAUUCUCAUAUCAUUCCUUAAAGAAUAUUAAUAAAAACAAAAUAUUUGGGCAUACGCCACAUAUGUAGCCAAUAAUAUUUCAUAUCACAUUGAUAACAUAAGCUAUCUUUACCCUUUGAAGAGUUAUCUUGAGAACUCUUAUUGUUCUCUUAUUUAUUACUAUGUUCCCACUUUUAGUAGUCCAUGAGUAUAUCUUUUAUUUUCUUUAUGUUUACAUUCACUUCGGAGAAUGCAACAAAUCUAAUAUGACAGACUUCUAAAGCCCUCUAUAGAUUUUUUAUUUCAUAAUCACUAUCAUAAACAUACGUGAAUUUUAAAUCAAAAUCUAUCCAUUCAUGUUGUCAUGAUUAUUCUCCAAUUAUAAUAAAUAUGACAUAAUAAAUAAAACAUAGUAAAAUAUACCUGAAGAUCUGUAACAUCAUCGUCAUCACCUUGACUAUUAUCAUGAGCAUCCAUUCUGAGAUUGAAUCUUUCAACAUCCUGAAGAUUGAUUUGUGGGACGACUUCAAAAUAUUUUGAAAAAAAUAAAGAGUCAUCAUACUAAUAACGUGUUAUAAAAUAAAGAAAGAUAGAGAGAAUAAAGAACAAAGAAAAUAUGAAAGCAAGAGAGAAUGUACUUUAUUAAUUAAAUGGAUGAUUACAAUGUUUCAUCAAAGUCUCUAUUUAUAGGCAUAAGAAGUAUAAAAGAAGUAGAGAUCUAAUUCUAAUAACUAUAACUAUUAAAAUUUAAAGUACAUCAAAACUUUAUCUUGAUUAUGAUGAACAUCUACUUAAUAACAUUUUCAUAACAUAUAUUAAAUUAUUUUUCUAUUCAAAUAUUAAUUUUUAUCAUUCAAUUGCUAUUAGCCUCAUUUACGUUAGAUAUUAUUUUCCAAGCGUAAAGGCUUUAAAAUGUCAGAUCGUCUAAAUAUAAAUAUUAAGUUUUAAAAAUUGAUUUUUAUAAAAAAUAAUUCUGUUUUAAGAAAAUGGACUUUAUUUUUAUAAUUUAUAAAUAUAUAAUAUUGCACGUUUUAUGAUAUUUUGUUGGGUACAACUUAUGUGUGGCGAUAAGGAAAAAUAAUAAAAUACUCUAUUUGGAAAGAAAGAAAAAGAGAAAUUAAUGUGACCCAUGGCCUUGUUAACUUAGAAAAGUCUACUUUGUGGGUUUCAAAAGGAAAAGUCUCCUUUGAAAUUUGAACCCAACAAAAUAUGAUUGUUGUUUGCUUGCUAUUAAUAUCUCUUCAACCUUUUCAACCCAUGCCUGCUUCUUUCCUAUUCCUUUCCUUUUGUCAUUAUAGUUAGGAGGCACGUGAAGUUGACUGUCGGUCUCUCUUCUUUUCUUUUCGAGAUGAAGCCUUACUGCCAGCUAAAAUAAAGCUUUAAUUGUUUGGAGAAGGUAAGAAAUUUUAAUUUUUAAAAUUUUAUAAAAAUAAAUGAAACUAAAAUUGGAAUUAUACAAAUUAACUAAUGAGUCCAAGGUCGAUGCCUAUCCUCUCUCCCCUAUUUUCGGGCACCUAAAGGGAUUCCUUAAAACAUAAUUUUUUUUAAUAAAUAAGUAAAAUUUAUUAUUAUAAUUCAAUUCAAUUAAAUUCAAUUUUUAUUACAUUCUACUCACACACCAAGAAUGUUCUUUUUAUUUUUUAUUCUUAAAAAUCAUAUAGUAAUUGAAAUUUAGAAAAAUUAAUUAAUAACAAAUUGUAAUUGAGUUGAUAAGAUAUAAGUUAUGUGCUUGGAAGGAGUGGUUAACAAGGACAUAUUUAGGAUUUUACUUUGUGGGAGCGAAAUUUCUAAAUUCGAACGAUAUUCUUUUUUAAUUAAAAAAAUAAAAAUUCUUCUCAUAUCUUUUUUUUCAUCAAACUAAUAAAUUUAAUUUUUUUGAAAAAAGAAUGAACUAUUUAAUUGUAAAAAAAUUAAAAGAAAAAAAUCACACUAUCUCAAAUUAAAUAUUUCUUUCCAAUAUGCAACAAAAAAAUACUAUACUAAAAAUUUUAUAAAAAUUAUUAUAAUUCCAAAAAUUAAAUUAAAAAAACUUGACCUUAGUCCAUUUCUCAAUACUAGGCAUCCUAAAUUGCACCAUCCGCUUUUUCAUAAGAUCGAACUUAUCAAUGAUAGAAUCUGUUAAAAAUUCUCGAGCUAUCUCUUUUUUGAUGUAUGCCACCAAAUAGGUUGAAAGAAUAUUAUCCUCCAUUUUGUUGCGAAGCCUUGUCUUCACAAUUUUCAUGGCUGAAUAUGCUCGUUUGGUUGUUUCAAUAGACACAGGAAGAGGUUAGCACAAGACGGAUAAUUCUAUCAAGAAGAGGAUAAAUAUUUAACUUACUUGUCUUAGCUAGCACUUGACACAAUUCAGCAACUGUAGAAGCUUUCUGCAAUUCUGUGCUUUGAUGAGCAUCAAGUUGAAAAUGCUCCAAUUGGAUCUUCAUGUGUAGCUUUUCUUGUUUUGUAAAAUCGUCCAAAUAAAAAUCAUUCAUAAGCUUGUAGAUAUCUUCCACCCAAAAAGCUUUGUAAUUAUCGCUUGGAUCCAAAACAUAGCUAAGAACAAAUAACUUCAUUAUCUCAUCAUUAAAGUGAGAAUUCAUUUCUAUUAGCAAUGAACCGAUACUAGUAAUGAAUAUAUCAAACCGAUAGUGAUGCUUAAUUGUGAGGUUAUCUUUCUGGAUGCGAGACUAACCUUGACCAACUUUAUACAGAGCACUUAAAUUGGAGACUUCUAUCUCAUGAUCUUUACAAAAUAACUUCACUUUCUUAAACAAAGGAUCCCACCCAUGUUCUUUGAAUUUCUAGAGAAGCAUUUUAAUUGAUGACACUAGUUGAAUUGUGUUUAGUAUAUCCUGCAAUUUAUACUGCAAUACUAGACAUAGAUCAUCAAUGAUUCCAAGCACCUUAAUUAGGAAAUGCAAGAUGAAAACAAAAUCAAUGGAUGUUACUGCAUCAUAUAUUUCAUCACCUUCACUCCUUUGAGUAAGGUUUUUGGACUUGAUGAUAUCUUGUAAUACAAUACAAACAAAAUCGAACAUCCUCAUCAGGCUAUUGAGAGAAGCCAAAUGAGAUCCCUAUCAAGCAUCGCCUAGACGUUGGAGAGUACUGACUUGAUUUUUCACUUUGCCAGUUGCAAGGUCACCAUUGUCAAUCAACUUCGCGAUAUGGGAUGCCUCAAUGUCUCUUAAUUGAUCAUGUCGCUUGCUUGAAGAAGCAACCAAAUUGAUUAUACCGGUCAAGUAUGAAAAUAAUUGACAAAUAGGAAUAGCCUCUUCAGAUGUAGCUACUAGAGUUAAUUGGAGACGAUGAGCAAGGCAGUGAACAUAGUAUGCAACUUAGCACCUUUAAGUAAAGAACACUUGCAAGCCGUAAAAAACUUCACAGAUUGCCUUCUUUAAAGCUAACGAUAUGGUGUCCUUCACAUAAACCAAAUCAAAGAAUUGUUCAAGUAUAAAACCUUCUUUAUCAACAACUUGCAAUACAAUUUCCAUUUUGUUCUUUCUCUUACUUAUCACGAGCUUCAUCCACUAUAAUGCAAACCUUUGAAUCUCCAAUCUCUUCUCAAAUGAAUCCUUGGAAUUUACUCGCCAAAAUAGAAAGAAUAACCUCCUGAAUAGUUGUACUGUCAUAUUGUGCAUUUUGAGAGGCAUUUUCUAAGACAAUUGCCCCCACAUCUUCAUUAUAAGAAGCUAGAAGUUUUAUUAGUUCAAGAAAGUUACUUCAAUUUAUUGAACUUUAUACUUCAUCGCGUCUCUUAAAGGCACAACCUUGAAAUACAAGUGUCACGUGCAAAAUGACAUGCGAUUUGUGCAAAUAUACACGUCGAAUCAAGUAAUAAAGUGAUGAGUGAGUAUCGUUCCCACGAGGAUCAAAUUGAGGCAUAAAAGUGGUCAAGUUAUUAUAAUAGAGUAUUGUUAAUUCUAUGGCAAAAAAAAGAAGGUAAGUAUGAAGUGGCAAUUAAAGGAAUAGUGAUGUAUGCAAUAUGUGUAAUUAAUAAAUACUUGAAAAUGGUAUGGCAAAAUAAGAGUAGAAAUGUAAUGGCAAUUAUGAGAAUUACUACGGGAAUAUUAUGUAAAUGAAUAAAUAAAGAACUAAUAAUGAUGUGGCAAAGAUACUAUGGAAAAGAAUAAAUGAUAUACGAUGUUGAUUUGGAAGGUUAGGAUUACUAAGAAUCUACCCUUACUGCCAAUAAUGCCUCAGGAAAAUCAUACUCAUUUUACUGCUUAGAAGAGUUAUAAAAUGAUCUGCAUCUUUCGAAAGCAAAAACCUCAAGUUACCUUGCCCAUGUCUAUAGGCCUUAAUAUGGUACCCUGCAUUGUUUUCCUUCUAUAUGAACGCUGCUUUAAGUCUAAAGUCUACUUCAAGUAUCGGUCGAGUACUUGCUCAUAUCAUUCAAUAUCGAUCUAACUAACCAACCUUUUCAGAAUUAGGCUUAGUUUCUAGACAUGCUGAAUAGACAUCUAUGUCUAGGGAUUGCAUGCAUACAACUUAGAAAUAAAACAAUUGAAUGAAAUAGUAAAUUGAUUCAGAUUUAUCCUUCAACCAUUAAAGAAAAUAAAAGUUUCAUCCUGUAAUCCCCACCCAAAGAGAUUUAGCUCGUGGGUUGGCAUAUAAAAUUCAAAACCAAAGUAACAUCCAACAUCAUUUUCAUCAUUCAAUUCACACUCUAGCAGAACGGUUUCCUGCGAUGGCUGAGAGAGACUGCUUUCAUCUUUUUCUUUCUGUCUCUACUCAGCCACUACCCCCUAUUUUUGCCUAAGGAUCUCUUUCUUUUUGUUCAUCAUUCAGGGUUUCCUUCUUUGGCUUUUUAUAGCUUUUUUCCUAGGGUAAAUCUAGCAACCCAUGUUUAUCUUCUCCUUUUUUAAAAUUAUUUUUUCAACAACCUAAGAUUAUCUUCUCCUCUUUGUAAAUUCUUUUUUUUCUAGGAUAAAAACAAACAUCCCAAUAUUAUCUUCUCCUCUUUUUUAGGCAGAUUUUUCUGGUACAAGACAGUUGGGCUGAAACUAGUAUGCGUUGAGUGUUGAUUUAGUCUUCCAGGAAUUGCUAUGACAUUCAUGCUGACAAAAUCUCCAACCUUUUUCCCCGACAAAUGUUCACUCAUUUAUUUCUCGUUCCUCAACCUACACCUGUCAAACCACCAAAAACAAUCCUACCACAAGCAAUUAAAAGUACCUAAUAUUUAAACAUAGUCCAAGCUCCUAAUGAAAUGAUGAAAAUAUGAAUGAAAUGUCCUAAAAUGAAACUAAAUGUACCUAAGUACAAGCAAUUAGCUAGGUUUAAAGGAAUGAAAUAUAAUUAUUUUCAAGAGUUAUCACACCCUCAAACUUGAGUUAUUGCUUGUCCUUAAGCAAAAUAUGUAUGAAUGCGUGAACGUAAGAAUUGUUAUAGCAAUAUAAUCACCUUUGUAUUGUUAAGCCAUUAAGAGAGCAUUUUGUACUUAAGUUUUCAGCACUCUUCUAUGUCUAAAAAUUUGAUCAAGUUUCAUAAGCUUAUUGAGCAAAGGCAGUGUACAAAAUAUUGUCCUAAAAGAAAGAAAAAUCCUAAGUACUCAUACAACUUUCACUAUAGCAAGUAUCUCCUAAUUUACUUAGUUCAUCUUUUAAUUUUCUUUAUUUUUUUUCAUCUGGCCUUAUACAUACUCAAAUACAUACAUAUCCAUUUAUAAUGCUUUUUUUUACUAGGGGAUUCAGCUCGUCAUAUGAUUUUUUGACUCGACAAUCACAAUGGAGCAUACACUAAAUUGUUGAAUACUCAAUCAUGUCACGAUUUGAAUACUCACUUAUAAAGCUAAGGUUUUUGAUCAAUAAGAUGGAUGGAGCAAACAACUACCCUUUCAGUUACUUAGCCUAUUACUAUAGUGAAGUGACCCUAAUUUUUUUUCUUUAUUACACACUCUUACUUGGACUUGCCUUUCUAGUCAACAACAUGAUGGAGCAAACAAAGUGGUGCUGACUUACUUGGGAAUUCUAAGCAUUGGAGUAUUUGAUGGCAUUUUGUAGAUUUUUUUCCUUGAAAUUUCUUAAACAUUGCCACUUUAUUCGUUAUUGAGUAUUGCCAUUGUACUGAAUUUAGCCUCAAGAAUCUCUAAGUUUAUUAAAAGAAACUUACUAUAGAUCAAUUGUAAUUGGAAUUAGGACAUCCUAAUUUUAAGGGUCAAUUUGCAAGCAAACUAUCCUAAGCAAACGUCAACUAAUCCAUUGUCACAACUUUCUAAGUUUAUAGAAGAAUUAAGUUUCUCAUUAUCACAGUCUAAAAAAUUCCUUGGCAAUAUCGUGUGCCAUGGCAAAAUGAAUUGCAAAUGAACAAAAAUACUAAAACACAAAUGCUCAACGAAAUAUCUAAUGGAGUCUAGAUGCAUAAUACAUUACCUUCAAACGUAAGAGUUGCAUUAUCUUCAAUGUAUGUACAAAUAUGAAUCAUGAAUGCAAGGACAUAUAUAUGUACAUAAUGAGAUGUAUUAAAGGUAGAAAAACUUCCCGAGCUUGGAACUUAAUGGUAGUACUUUAAUUGCGAUGAGUGGUCUUUCGUGGACUUAUCUUAUAACGCAUCAGCCUUUUAAGUAAAUUGAGUGGUACGUCCUCCUUUUCAUUAUCAAAUUUGGUGUGUUCAUCAAUAAUCUGAUCGAUCUCAUAAUCAUGUUCAAUCAUUGGUUCAAUAGAAGGAGAUGGAACAACCAUAAUGCUGUCCACUGGUGGUGCAACUGAUGGAUUUGCUUUCUCUUCGUCCUCACGGUCAGUCUCAAUAUUGAUAGACUCUAUUUUCUUUGAUUCUUCCUCCGGUCCCUUAGGCACAUUCUUUUCAUUGACAAGAUUCGUCUCAAUAGGCUUUGCACUACCAAUCCCAUCUUCUUAUGCAGUUUAUUAAACAAAGGAAAUGAAAUAACUAAAAGAAAUUUAAAUAAAAAAAUGAAACAAAAAUAAAAAGAAUUUUCAAGAUGUUAAAGUUAAACAUCUCAAAGAUCAAUGGAUUGUUUGUCUCACUCUACAUGAGCACCCUAGUAGUGCUUCAAGCCUUGCCUAUGAACUUUAAAUGUGUCCCAUAUUUUCAUGUCCUUGACAUCAACAACUCCAUGCUGAUAUACAUGAGCUACCAAGCAUUGUUCAUUAAAAUUGAAAGGUCUAUUUUACUCCAACAAAGUGCACAAGGGUCUCUAGUCAAAUGAAUCUUCAUCACUAUCAGAAUUGCUGUUGCAAAAUCUUGUGAAAUCUUCCUCCACUACUGUUUCUAUCAAGUUAAUGGCUCAGCAUUCUUCAUUUUCAUCUACAUAUUUUAAAACAUCGAAUACAUUAAAAGUAACUUACUGAUCAUUUACUCCCAUAGUUAGUUAGCCUUUCUAUACAUCAAUUAAAGUUCUUCCUAUAGCAAGAAAAGGUCUUCUAAGAGUAAUCAAUACAUCUUUCUUAGCUUCACAUUCUGAAAUAAUGAAAUCGACUGGAAAAAUAAACUUAUCUACUCUUACCAGCACGUAUUCAAUUUUAACUUCCAGAUGUGCGUAAGAUAGAUCAGCUAGUUGCAGCGUGACUGUUGUGGGUCUUACCUUCCCAAUUCCUAGCUUAUUGAAAAUAGGCAGAGGUAUUAGAUUUAUACUCGCUCUUAAAUCACAUAAUGCCUUACCAACAUAAUGUUUUCCAAUGAAACACGAGAUAGUGAAACUCCUUGGGUCCUUCAACUUUAGAGGUAGUUUGUUCAUUAACAUUGCUGUGCACCCUUCAGUGAGAGCAGCAAUAUCAAAUUCUCACAAUCUGUGCUUCUUUAAUAGUAUAUCCUUCAUAAAUUUCAUAUAAUUGGGCAUUUGCUCCAAAGCUUCAACCAGUGGUAUGUUGAUAUGGAGUUGCUUCAAUACCUCCAAAAAUCUUUUAAACUAAAUAUCCUACUUGGAAUUGUAAAAUCGCUAGGGAAAAGGUAGAGGUGAUCAUCCUUCAGGUUGUUGAUAUUGUUUUUCUAUGACAUUUAUGUUGACAACCUGAUCUGAUUUUCCCACAACAUUUUGCUGCUUACCCUUUUUAAGUUUAGUUUGUUUGGUUGUUAUUCGAGUUACCCUCUCUUUCCAUGGCACCAUGAACAACGUCACUCAAUUGAUUCCCACUUCUAAGAAUAAUGGUCUUGCAGUGCUCCUUACCUUGUGUUCUCGAAUUCUCGGUACCACUUGGUAAUGCUCUUUGCGGUCUUGAAUUCAAAACAUUUUCUAUCUGUACCAUUUGAUUCUUAAGAGGUCGAAGAGAACCAACUUGACUUUGGAUUACAGCAUCAUUCUUGGCCAUAUAUUCCUUUAACAAAGCUUCAACAAAAGUAGAAGAUGAUGCUUGACCAUAUUGAACAUUUUUCCAUGGAUAGGUUGAAUGUAACAAAGUAGUGCAUUGUUGGAAUUCUAUCUUACGGCAUUGCUAAAAUUCCCUACUCUUUGAUUACUCCAACUAAAAUUUAGAUACCACUUCCACCUUAGAUUGUAGGUGUUAGAAUAGGGGUUAUUAUUCCAGUUAAAAUUAUCGGUGUAAUAUACUGACUCAGGGUUUGAUGGGCAUUCGUCAAACACAUGAUUUUCACUGCAAUAAACACAUAAUAGCUCGAUUGCUUUCAUCUCUUGAACUACAGUUGGUAUCUUUAUUGUCUUGAUCAUAUUAGUUAAAGAUGAUACCUAGGCUGUCAAUGAAGUGAUUACAUUAAGUUCCUUGGUACCAGCAACUUUCUUGCCUGUCCCAACUCUUGUGGUUGGAUAUUGAUAAUCAUUAUUGGCAAUAUUUUCCAAAAUCUCAUAUGCUUCAUUAUAAGAUUUAUCCAACAAAUUUAUCCAAAAUCUCAUGUGCAUUCAACCCAUUAUAGAAUAUUUCCAUCUGAGUCUAGUGCUAGAAUCCAUGCAUCAGACAUUUUUGAAUUAAUUCUUUAAAUUGUUCUCAAGAUUCAUAUAAUGUUUCAUCCGUUAAUUGCCAAAAAGAUGUGAUGUCAUUCUUAAGCUUGGCAUUCAUGUUUGGUGGAUUAUACUGUAGAAAAAGUCAUGAAUGCAAUCUUGGAUCUUCAGUGGGCAGUCCAUUAAACUAUCCUACUGUUUGUAACAUUUGAAACAUUACUUGUUUCAACUCAAAUUGUUGAGCUUGUAUUUAAGGCCUGACUAUCCUUAGAUUCAAAUAAUCCAAAAUUGGAACAACAAGCUCUAGCCAUUUAGAUUAUUAUUGAGACUAAGACCAUUUGUAUUAUCGUUGAGACUGGGAUCAUUCCUAUUUCUAGCCAUUUUUCUCAAUUCUUUUCAUCAAUAAUCCAAAUGGUCUUAAUAAGGGAUUAGUUCCUGUUUCAACGAUAAUUCACAUGGUUUUAGUCUUAAUAAUAAUCCAAAUGGUUUAGAUGUACGAUGGAAAAGAAUAAAGGACAUGCGAUGUUGAUUUGGAAGGACAGGAUUACUAAGAAUCUACCCUUACUACCAAUAAUGCCUCAGUGAAAUCAUACUCAGUUUACUGCUCAGAAGAGUUUUAAAAUGAUCUACUUCCUUUGAGAGCAAAAACCUUGAGUUACCUUACCCGUAUUUAUAGGCCUUAAUAUGGUACCCUAUAUUUUUUUCCUUCUAUAUGAAUGCCGCUCUACGUCUAGAGUAUACUACAAGAAUCGGUCGAGUACUUGCUCAUGUCAUUCAAUAUCGAUCAAACUAAUCCAACCUUUUCAGAAUUAGACUUAGUUGAUGGACAUGCUGAACAGGCAUCUGUGUUUAAGGAUUGCAUGCAUACAACUUAGAAAUAAAACAAUUGAAUGAAAUAGUAAAUUGAUUCAGAUUUAUCCUUCAACCAUUAAAGAAAAUAAAAGUUUCAUUCUAUAAUCCCCACCCAAAGAGAUUUAGCUUGUGGGUUGGCAUAUAAAAUUCAAAACCAAAGUAACAUCCAACAUCAUUUUCAUCAUUCAAUUCAUGGAAGAACAAAGUAAGAAAUAUGGAAGACUUCGGGAAGAUAGCUUUCACGUGUCUAGUUCACACUUUAACAGAACGGUGUCCUACGAUGGUUGAGAGGGACUGCUUUCGUCUUCCUCUUUUUGUCUCUACUCAGUCGCUGCCCUCUAUUUUUGCCUAGGUAUCACUUCCAGUUUGUUCGUUGUUUAUGGUUUCCUUCUUUGACUUUUUAUAGUUUUUUCCUAGGGUAAAUCCAACAACUUGUAAUAGCCCGAUUUUGGAUUAAAUCAGAAUAGUGGUUUUGAAACCACAAAUUCGAAGUAGAAAUGUUAAUUUUAUUAUUACUUUAAGGUCUACAAUAUGAUUGAAUACUUGUGUGAAACUUUUGUUAAGAAAUUUUAUCGAUAGAGUGUCCAAUUUGACCAAUAGGACUAAAUUGCAAUAGGUGUAAAAUAUGUGUUCUAGAAGCUAGAGGUGUCUAACUGCUAUGAAAUUUUAAAUUGAAGGUCUUUAAAUGGUAAUUAGACCAUUAUACUUUAAUUUGGGAAAAAAUGGACAUGGUUAGGUGAAAUUUCAAAGUUUUAAGUGAAGGGCAUUUUGGUUAUUUGGUAAAUAAAGACAAAAAUAACUAAUAAAAAGAUGUCAUCUUUUCUAAUUUGAUUCCCCAUGGUCGAAAUUCACAAGGAGAAGACAUAGCUAGGAUUUGGCCAACUUUCAAGCUUAAUUGCAAGUCCAUCUUUAUCCCAUUUUUAAUGAUUUUUACGUUUUUGUGAAUGUUGUAACUUGAUUUAGCUAUUUCAAGGACUAAUUUGAAAGAAAAUUAAAGUCUAAAAUUUUACCCAUGUUGAAUAUUUGUGUAUUUUGAUGUUUAAUGGUAGAAAAUGUAUGUUCAAUGUUAGGUAAACAACAUUUACCAAGUGAUUUCUUGAUGAAAAUGUCAAAUAGGGAAAUAUUUGUAAAAGUUGUAAAAUGUGUGUUAAAAUGUGAAUAAAUGAAAAAUAUGGGCUGUUAUGAGCAUGAAAAAGAUUCGGCUAGGCUUGGGUAAUGAAGAAAUUGGAUGAAAAUCAUUUUACGAGCCUAGGGACUAAAAUGUAAAAAGUUAGAAAGUUAGGGGAAAAAAUUUAAUUUUUGCCAUAAGGAUUUUUUGGGAUUAAAUUGAAUAAUGUGAUAUUUAAUAAGUUAAAUUUGAUAUUAUAGAUCAAGAAAGACUAGGUUUUGACCUAGACUGGGGAAAGAACAAAGUUGUGGACUAAAUUGAACUAUUAGCCAUUUUGUACUGAGGUAAGUUCGUAUGUUAAAAACAAGCUUUAAUAUGAUUGUAUUUUAUUGCUUUAAUAUUGCAUGAAUUGUAUGUUUGAUAAAUGUGGAUGAGCUUAAUCUUACGAACGAGUCCAAAAAUGAAUCAACAAGCGAGAAAUACCGUUGAACCUUAGGAAUAGGGUAGGAUACAAGUGACAUGUCACUAGGUUAAUUAUGUGUUAUGUGAUUAUGUGAUCCGGGUGUUGGUCUUGUAUGUCUUACCAUUGGAUGAGUAUACCGGCAUAUGUUUUGGAUACUUGACAGCUUGUGUGAGCAGCACCGCAGAGCUAUGUCUUGACUGACAGCUUGUGUGAGCCCGUUGAUAGCUCGAGAGCGAGCAACUAUGUGAUUUAAGAUUUGAGGUAGCAUUGGCUACAUAUGUGGCACUUAGUGUGCAAGAAUCCCGAGUAUCUGACAUUAUUAUUCCGAGUGGUUCACGGGUUUGUCAAAGAUGAUAUUAUGUGUAAAUUCCUUUCGAGAUGGUACAGGAAUGUUCUUGAAGCUCAUAUAUAAUAAAUUCUUGAAAUGAUGAAUAUGAGGUAAGUUUUGUGAUGGAAUGAGCUAUGAUUAUGAGACCAUGGUAAAUGUACAUUUAAUUAUGUUAUAUUAUUUGAAUGUUACACGUAAUGUAGGUUGCUUAUUUCUUGCAUACAAGUUUAGUAAGCUAUAUAGCUUACGCCGUUUAUUUUCCAUGUUUUUAUAGUGUCGCCAAGCUAACUCGGAUCGGAGAUCGUCGGAGAUUCGCCUCACACUAUCAAAACUGUUAUUUUGGGUAUUUGAUGAUCUUAUUAUUUUGAAAGUAUGACAUGUAUAGGGACUUGAUCAUUUUGUUAUAUGUGUCAUUUGAUUUGGCCAAAUGUAUUGGCUUAUAUUUGUUUAAGUUGAUUUGGUACUUAGCCAUGUAAUUGGAUUAUUUUGGCUAAAAUGGUUGUAAGCCCAUUUAUAUAUGUAUAUGUGCCAAUGGCUUUGGUGUUAUGGUCAUGGUAUGCUUGGUGUAUGUUGGAGUUUGAUUUUUAGCAUGAAUGUGAGAUGUUUGGAAAUGUGCUUUAUUGGUGAGAUGAUAAUUUUAUGCACAAAUAGGUGUCAUGAAAGUAGUUUAAUGAUACUUUGUAUAUAUGAAAUUAGCAUGAUUAAUUUGGGACAUGAUAACUGUUGUGAGUAUGAUAGUGGAUGGUAUUGUAUUGAUAUGAUUUAGCCAUGAUUGUGGAUGUUUGGUUGCCUAAGUAUGACAUGUUUUGUGCCUUUGAUUUGGUGUAAGUGUAUGUGUGAAUAAGGGUGGCAAAUGGCUUGGUAAAUAACCUUUAUUUUGUCCACAUGGGUAGACACACGGGUGUGUGUGUAGGUCGUGUGUGACACACGGUCUGACCCAUGGGCAUGUGUAUAGGUCAUGUGUCCCCUGCACCUUAAUUUUUAGAAACAAAAUGCUCAGAAUUGAGCACACGGGCGUGUGUCUCAGCCGUGUGGAUGGCACGGCCUCGAACACGGGCGUGUACCCUGGCCGUGUGAAGUCUGCACCUAUUUUAUGAAAAUUAAUUUUCCACACGGCCUAGCACACGGACGUGUGACUUGGCCGUGUGAUCUCAAUUUUUUCAUGGGUUACUAGUCAGAGAGUUACAGGGGGUCAGGACACGGGCGUGUGUGACCACACUGCCUGCCCACACGGUCGUGUCCCAUAUCCACACAGGCGUGUGACCUCUGUUUAGUGGAAAAAUUUUUAAAGUUUCGUGAAAAUUUCUAAAGUUCUUGGUUUAGUCUUGAACCACUUCCAAAGCAUGUUUUGGGCCUCGUAGGCUUGUGUUAGGGACUUUAUGGUUAAAUGUAAAUGGUUUUAAUUUGGACGCAAAUUUAUGACUCGGAAUUGUAUGAUUGUUUGUGAUGUGAGUCCGGUAAUGCCUCGCUCCCUAUUCCGGCGUCGAAUAUGGGUAAGGGGUGUUACACAACCCAUGUUUAUCUUCUCCUAUUUUAAAAUUACUUUUUCAACAACCCAAUAUUAUCUUCUCCUCUUUUUUAGGCAAAUUUUUUUGCUACAAGUACAGUUGGACUGAAACUAAUAUGCAUUGAGUGUUGACUUGAUCUCCCAAGAAUUGCCACAACAUUCAUGCUGACAAAAUGUCCAACCUUUUGCCCUGAUAAACGUUUAUUCAUUUAUUUCUCGUUCCUUAACUUGUACCUGCCAAACCACCAAACACAGCCUUGCCACAAGAAAUUAAAAGUACCUAAUAUUUAAACACAGUCCAAACUCCUAAUGAAAUAAUGAAAAUACGAAUGAAAUGUCCUAAAAUGCAACCAAAUGUACCUAAGUACAAGCAAUUGGCUAGGUCUAAAGGCAUGAAAUAUAACUUUUUUCAAGAGUUAUCAACAAGCCACUUGACAACAUCUAUUGACACCUUGAGCUAUAGCAUAUUUCUUUCAACUUGUUCAGAAUUUAGUUUCUUGAUAAUCCUCUCAAUAUUUUGCAAGGAAUUCUGAAGCUCGAUAUAAAUUUUCAUUGCAUACAUAUGUAAAGAAUUUUCAUCUUUACCCAUAUGUGUAAUAGCCCGAUUUUGGGCCUAGUCAGAAUAGUGGUCUCAGGACCACAAAUUUGAAGUCAGAGAAAUUAUUUUAUUAUUAAUUUGAUAUUAUAGCAUGUUUUUAAGAGUGCAUGAAAAAUUUGGUGAAGUAAUUUUAGCGUUUGUAAGCUUAAUUGAGAAAAAAGACUAAAUCGCAUAAAAUGCAAAAGUCCUAAAUUGAUAGCUAAAGAUGUCAAAUAGCUAGAGAACCUAAAAUUGGAGUCUUUAAAGGGCAAUUAGACCCUUUAGGGAGGCAUGGCAGCCAUAGGAGACAAAGGUGGUCAAAUUUUCAAAGUUUGGUAAGUUAGGUGGCUUAUUUUGACUAAACUAAGAGUAAAUAGAGGAAAGAUGAUAUCAUGCCUUUUUCAUCUUCUUUCUUCACCGAAAAUCAGCCAUUGAAGGGAGUUUGAAAGCUUAAAAAUUUCAGCAACUUGUAAUCCUCACAAGUAAGUGAUUUUGAUAGUUUUUCUUGAUGAUUUUUACAUUUUUGAGACCCUUGAAGCAUGAGCUUUCAAAUAAGGGUACUAUUUUUCAAAAUGAUCAAGAGUAUAGGAUUUUUCCAUGAAAGGAUUUGUAAAUUUUUCUGAGUUUUUAUGGAGGAAAAUGAGUCUUGGGUGUCUUAUAAACAACUUUUGUGAAAUGUGUUAGCAUGAAAACACCUAAAAGGACUAUUUUGCAUAAAUUGUAAAAUAGAUGAUAAGUGUGUGAAAUAGUGGGAAUUUGGAGUUGCUAUAAGAGUAGAAAGGAUUUGACUAGGCUUAAGAUAUGAAGAAAUUUGAUAAAAAUCGAGUUUCGGGCUUAGGGGUAAAAUGGUCAUUUUGUAAAAGUCUACGGGGAAAUUGGUCAUUUUGCCCAACUAUGAAUUGUUGAGUGCCUAUGUUGAUAAAGUAAUUAAAUAAGUGCAUUUUGUUAUUAUAGAUCAAGAAAUACCCAAUCCAAACCUAGACCAGGGGGAAAGCCAAGCAAAUCGACUAAAUCGACUAGUCGCCACAUUUUGUAAACUGAGGUAAGUUGUAUGUAAACAGUACAACUACAUAAAUAAUAUAUGUAUUUGAAUUGUAUUGAAAUUAUUAUAGCAUAAAUUGUUUGAUUGGGGAAAUGAGAAAAUGUGAUGAGAAUAGAGAUAGUAGAAUUCCCGAUUGAACCUUAGGAAAUAAAUCAGAUAUUCAUGCCAUGGCGAUUGGGUCACUUGUGUGAGCUAGAGUAAGACAUGUCUGGGACAUGCAUCAGCCACAUUGCGAGAGCCAGUGUAAGACCAUGUCUGGGACAAGGCAUCGGCAUUGGAAUUGAGACAAGUGUUAGCAUAAGAUAUGUCUAGGACAUGCUUCAACCUCGAGACGUAAGCUAGUGUAGGACAUGUCUGGGACAAGCAUCGGCUACGAGAUCUAUCAGUGUAAGACCAUGUCUGGGACAUGGCAACGACACAGAUAUGCUAGAACUUGUGUAAGACCAUGUUUGGGACAUGGCAUCGGCACCUGACCCCAUGUUUGAGACUAAAUGAAUAUCCGAUAAUGUUCCAAAUGGUUCAACGGUGAAAGUAUGAUUUCAAAUUAACAAGGAAAGUAUAACCGUGUUGUGAGUGGUACAGGUACCCAUAUGGUUUGUAUGAAAUAUGAGCUCGAUAUAUGCUAUAUGAGGUGUAUUGAAUAUUGAUGAGUAAGUUUUGCUUAUGCCACUUGUGUAUUAUGAUACUUGUUGAUGACUGGUAAAGUUAUGUUGUAUAUUUAUUUCUGUGCAACUUACUAAGCUUUAUGCUUACUCCCUCUCCUUUUUCAUUUUCUUAUAGUGCCACUUAUCUAGCUCAAGGAUCAACGAAAGUCAAAGAUAUCAAUCACACUAUCAAUCGAAGCAUUCGGUAUAGUUUGAUUUUUAUUUUUGAAUAUGGCAUGUAUAGGGCUUAGACUUUACUAGUUUUAUGUCAUUGAGAACUUGCGAAAUGUGUUGGCUUGGGUUGGAAACCCUUCAUUUUGUAUUAAGCCUUGAAUGGUGGUAAAUAUUCAUUUUGAUUUAUAUGCAAAGAUGUUAUUUUCAUAGAUGAGUAAAAUGCACAAAUGGAAUGUUGUCUAUUAUGGAUGAUUUGGUUGCAUGAGAUAGUGUUAUCUUAAUUGUGGUUGCUAUUAUGUAGGUCGUGUAAGUAAGGGUGGAAAAUAGGCUUGGUAAAUAGCCUUAUAUUGUCCACACGAAUAGGCACACGGAUUUGUGUCUUGGUCGUGUGUGACGCACGGUCUACCCUAUAAGCGUAUGGUCUGGCCGUGUGUCCCCUGCACAUAAAAAUUUCAAGUGAGUAUGCAUGAUAGUAAACACACGUGCAGAGAAACAAUCGUGUGAUGAACACGGCCUAGCACACGGGCGUGUGCCCGUGUGACAUUUUGGGUAUGCUGACGUCAGAAACAGAAUGUCCAGAUUUUUGGACACAAGCGUGUCAUGGCCGUGUGAAGGACACGGGCCAGGGACACAGGCGUGUGCCAAAUUGUGUGAAAACCCCUGUAGGUGUGCAUUUAGAAUUAAUUCUACACGGGUGGAGGACACGGGCGUGUCCCUAUAUUGCUUAGGCUGUGUGAGCCAUACGGGCCAUCAAUACGACCAUGUUGAAAUGGCCACACGGGUGUGUUACCCUUCAACACAAGCGUGUUCCCUAUUUCAAAGUUAAAUUUUCUAUAGAUGGUUUAAAGACAUGGUUGAUCUUGAAUAGUUUUCAAUGGUCGAUGUGGGGCUCGUAGACCCAUAAUAAGAAUUUUAGAGUAGAAAUUGAAAAAGUUCUAAUUUGGACCAAGUCUUGGUGACUUGGGGAACGUUUGUGUGCAUGCGAUCGAGUUAGGUAAUGCCUCGUAUUCCGCCCCGGCUUGGGUUACGGGUAUGGGGUGUUACAACAUGAGUAACAAAAGGACAUUUAGAUCUUUCAUUGAUCUUCUUCCAUGAUCAAAAUCAUUGGCUUGUAAAAGUAUUUCCAUGGCGACCAAAUGAUUUGUUGAAGAGAAAACAAGAAAGGUAAUAUGUGACAUUCUUACUUGGUGAAAACUCGAGCCAAUCUGGGAAUGACUUGUAGCAAGAUGGGAGAAAUCGACGUCCAUUCUUGUGAAUAUAUUGAGGUGAUGUUGGAGCAUCACUUAGAGGGAUCAGUUGAUAUGGCCUAGGCUUAAUGUAAGCUCGACGGAAUUCACCUUGUUGAUUUGGAGGAUAAUCCCAGAUUGAUUUUUGAAGUCCUAGAUCACACUCUAAAGAAGAAGCAUCAACUCAUUCCUUCACUAAUAUCUCAUUCAGGAGCUUGGAAAGACCCGAUAUCUCAUUCAGGAGCUUGGGAAGACUUGAUAUCUCAUUCAGGAUCUUGGGAUUGAGAAGACUUGAUAUCUCGUUAAAGAUCUUGGGAUUGAAAAAACCUGAUAUCUCGUUUAAGAGCUUGGGAAGAUAUGAUAUUUGAUGUUUCUCUACUAAUAUCAGAAGGUUUAGGAAUUGAUUGAUCAUUAUUGCUUUCUGACACUCUUUUCUUGAAAAAAUAUUCAAUCUUUUUAUUGACCAUAAUUUAAUCGAAAAACUUGAAGACUGUAUAAACAACAACAUAUUAGGAAAAGAACAAAAAUAAUAAGUCAAAUAAAUAAACAACAUAAUUUAUGCAAAAAUAUUUAUCGAGAAGUCUUUUGCGUAAGGAGUCGAGAGGAAGAUAAUUUGUGUUUUUUUCCUCUGUGCUCUUAGUCUUGGCAUCAAACUAGCCUAAUAUUUUCUUUUACUCUAGGCAGUGGCAGCACCUCAUCAGAGGAAGAUAAUUCCUUCCUAAGACAUACAAAUCAAAACACAAGAAAGUCAUUAACCUAAUAUGUAUAGGUAUGGGCCAGAUCAAUAACUUCUAGAAUUUGGCUUUAAAUUCCAUAUUGACCCUCUAAGUUGAGUCUUUUAAGGCCCAUCAUACAUUAAUAUUUGAUUAUUAUUAAAGUUAUAUAUUCAAAAAUUGAAAAAUGCUUUGUUAAUAUAAAAUAUAACCUUAUGGCUUAAGGAGGCAAAUUAUAUGAAAUACAAUUCGACCAAGGGGGCAAAUGUUAUACAAUAUGGACACCAAAUCUAAAAUACAUGAUAAUUUAUAUAUAAAAUUCGAAAAUUUGAAAAUUCCAAGGUGUCCCCUCCUGGAUCCGUGCCUGGUGGUUAAGGGAGUGGGCACUCCUUCAAGAAUUGCGUGAAAACAAAAAAAUAAACAAAGAACACAAAGAUUGUUUACGUAGUUUUGUUUCCCUACGUCCGUGGAGCCUAGAUUAGUGAUAAAUAUUCAUUAUCUUCAACACUUACAAGUGAUCCUAAUCUGUUACUCACUUAUGACAAUUUCAUCACUUAGCCAUCUUGAAGAUUGAUACGUUUCACCACUAAAUUCACUCCAGUGAACUCAACAAAUAAAACUGUUAGUCUGAGUAGGAAUUUGGAGAGUGGGCAGUCCCUGGAGUUCUUCGAUAAUAGCUUGAGCUUGGCUACUACACCUCAUUGGUGUUGCAAAUUUUGUUGCCUCUUAUAAUCCCCAACAUAUGUCAUUUUUUUGUGAGCUUAAAUAAAACUUGAAGGGAUGCGUAGAGUUUGGAAUACGAUAAACAACUUAAGUAGUAAGGAAACUAAAAUAUCUCUAAGAAACUUGUGAAUAGUCAAGGUAAACAAUCCAAAUUGAUAAGAUUAACUAUUUAAAUAAAUAAAAAUAAUUUUCACUUCUCAAUUAAUGCAUGUUUGCCAUGAUAUUUGGAAAGAGAAAAUCUUUCUAAUAUUUCCCUCCAAAAUUAUCAUUGGUGCCAAAAAGAAUAAAAAACCAUUCUUUCAAAAAAUUAAGCAGAUAAUUAGGAAUGAUAUUAUUAUGAAAAAUCAUAAAAAUGACAUCUAACAUUGUCAUGUGGAUGUCUCCCAUAACAGUCAAUUAAUUCAUGCUCGAUAGACACUAGCCGAGCUUCUCAAUCUCUCAAACUUGUUGACAUCCAAUACUUUAGUGAAUAAAUCUACGAAUUGACAUUGUGUAAAAAUAUACCUCAGCUCAAUUGACCUAUACUACACCAAUUCUUUGAUAAAGUGAUUCCUUAUAUCUAUGUGUUUGGUUCUAGAAUGCUCCACAAGGUUUUUAGAAAUGCUUAUGGCACUUGUGUUGUCACAAUAAGCUAUGGAAAUUGGAAAUGCAACUUAAAGUCCUCCAGCAUUUGCCUCAUCCAUAACAACUAAGCACAAAAAUUACCUCUUGCAAUAUAUUCUCCCUCUAUUAUUGACAAAGAUAUUGACCUUUGUUUUUUGUACUAUAAAACCAAGUUAUUUCCAAAGUAAAAACAUUCUUCAAAAGUGCUUUUUCGAUAAUCUAUGGUCCCAACCAAGUCAACAUUAAUGUAUCCUACUAAGCAUAUUGAACUAUCUUUAGUAAACCAAAUGCCAAGAUUAGGAGUACCGUAAAUGUACCUAAUGAUUUGUUUGACUGCAUUGACAUGAGAUUUGGACUGACUUGAUAUCUUGCACAAACACCAAAAAUAAAGUACAAACCAGGAAGGCUUGUAAUAAUAUACAGAAUAAUGCUUUUAUAAGUUGUUUGAGGAGUGAACACUCCUUCAACAUUUGCACAUAGUUUAUCAUUAACAUACAUAGAAGUUCUUUCUAGUUUAGAUUGGUUAAUAACAAAAUUGUUCGCAAGGUUUCUACCAUAUUCCUCUUAAGGUAAGAAAGUUCAAACUUCAUAUUUCUUGGUUCGAAAUCCAAGGAACUAAGAUAACUUACUUACCAUGCUCAUUUCAAACUCACGUUACAUCUUUUUCAUAAAUAAGUCAUUGGAAGUAAUUGAAGUAGCACCAAAUAUUAUGUCAACGACAUGUUUUUAUGCCAUGAUUGUUUUCCUUCUAUUCCUCCUAGUAAACAAUGUUUUGUCCAUAAAACCUCUUUGAAUUUCUUGCCAAGUGAAUAUCGAGACAACCUCUCAUACCAAGUUCGAUGAGCUUGUUUCAAGCCAUAUAGUGUUUUCCACAACUUGUAGACAUACUCUGGAUCAGCUGUAUCCUCAAACCCCUAAGGUUGAGCAACAAACACCUCAUUUUUAAGAAAUCCAUUCAAGAAAGCACUCUUAACAUCCAUUUGGAACAAAUUGAUGUUAAUAUGUACAACUAUAACAAGCAAUAAAUGAAUUACCUCAAGCUUGCAUAGUAGCAAUUAUUUCUUCAAAAUCGAUACACUCUACUUGGGUGUAAUGUUGAGCCAAAAAUCUAACCUUGUUUCUAGUGAUGUUACCCUACUAAUUUUUCUUGUUUUUGAAGAUCCAUUUGGUGCCAAUUAUGUUGCAAUCAGAUGGCCUAGGCACCAACUCCCAUACUUCAUUUCUCUAAACUAUUGCAACUUAUCUUGCAUGGCUUGGAUCCAAUCAACAUCAUUAAUGGCCUAUUCUACACAUUUUGGCUCAAUCUAAAAAGUGUAACAAGCCAAUCAAGGAAUGUAUCUAUAUUUAUGUUUUGGGCUACCCCUUAUUUCAAUUCCAUCAUGCUUAUCACUAAUUAUGUCAGCACUUGAGUGAUUCUUUCUAACUAUUGCUAAAUGUUGAAGUUACUCACCAUCAUUAGACUGAUCAUUGACCUAAUCAAUAACUUGAACAUCUUGACCUUCUACUUUUGAAUUUUCUUCAAGCAUAGCAAUAUUAAGGGGAGUGGACACUCCCUCAGGCACAACAUCAUGAGUCUUACCUUUAUCAUCAUUACUGUGAAUCUCAUGAACUCUAACAUCAUCAACCACCAUAUUGAUUGAAUUUAUGACCUUAUGAGUACAUUUAUUAAACACCCUAAAAGCUUUAAUGUUGUUGACAUAACCAAGAAAAAUAGCCUAAUCAGAUUUAGAAUCUAAUGUACUUUGGCAUUCUCUAUCUUGUCAGGAUCUCUUUUUCCAGUAGUGAGAAUUUCAUCAAGUUUGUUGCUACUAGUCUUGAACAUUUCAUACAUAAGGUUUGUCUCUACAAGUUCCUUUUUGAUCUUCACAAUAUUGUCUAGUUCCUCUACAAGAAGAGCCUAUUUAGUAGCUAUCUGUUUAACCAACACAUCAAAAUCUUCACCAUCAAUAGUACUUGCAAUGAAAACAAAGAAAUUUUGAUGAUCCUUUUUUGAAUCUAAUCCACUAGAUAAAUCAUCAUCACUUGAAGUUACACAAAAUGACUUCUUUUUCUUUUUUAGAGUGUUAGCACACUCAAAUUGGAUAUGACCAUAUCCUUGAAAUUCAUAGCAUUGUACACCCUACUUCAUGCCUUUUUAGGUUUCUUCUUAAAGACAAUUCCCUUUGAAUUGUUCCUAGGAACACUAGUAUUGGCUUCCAACAUUUUAAAUCUUCUUGAUGAUUUCUUGAAGGCCUUAUUGAAACUCUACGUGAGUAAUAUAAUCUGUUCCUGAAUAUCUUUAAUGGUAGGAUGCAGGAAGUUGGCGCUUCCUCAUUCACCUAAAGAGCAAUUAUUUUUCUCCAUUUCAUUUGCUUUGUUAUGUUUAGCCUCAUAAAAGUUCAUCUUGAAGGUCUAUAAGAAACCAAUGAGUUCAUCAAUAGCCAAAUUUUCAAUAUCCUUGACCUUUUCAUAGCUAUGAUCUUAAUAAAUCUCUCUAGAAGACACAUUAACACCUUUCAAACAAGCUUGGUAUUUGAAUAUUCCAUUCCUACAUCAAAAGCCUAGUUUGUUCGAUCACACAACUUUGCAUAAAACACUCCAAUAGUCUUUGAUUCUUGCAUUAUUAAGCUUUCAAACCUUGAAGUCAGCAUUUACAUCUUAGAUUGCAUGACAUUAGAUGUUCCUUUAUGAGCAGUUUCCAAGAUACCCCAAGCAGUCUUACCAAUAAUGCUUUUGGCAAUUUUUUUAAAUUCCUAUAGGUCAACUCCACAAAAGAUGACAUAUAAAGAUUUGGAGUUUGCAUUGGCCAAUUUUUCUUCCUAAGUGGUCCACUAAACCUCUAGCUUAACAACCAUUCCACUUUUAGUAUCCAUUUUGGGUAGCUCCUAUCUAGUUAGCACAGCUCGGUAUGCUGUCUCAUCAAUGGACUUCAUCAAUGGACUUAAUGUAUGCCUUUAUGCAUGCUUUCUAGUAUGCAUAAUUUCCAUCCUAUAGCAUAGUGGGUUUUGAAGUAGAUGAAUCUUCCAUAGCUUGAAACUAGUAACACUAAGGAUUUCCACUAGCUAUUUUAAGUGGUAAGCUUUGAUACCAAUUAAAGCUUUGUUAAGGUAUAAGCUAUGUGCUUGGAAGGAAUGGCUAAGGGAGUAAGUACUUCUUCAAGCAUUACGUGAAACAAAAAAAGACACAAAGAUUGUUUAUGUAGUCUGGUUUCCCUACAUUUGCAGAGCCUAGCUCAGUGAGAAAAUAUUCACUAUCUUCAACACGUACAACAAGUGGUCCUAAUCUAUCACCCACCCAUGAAAAUUUCCUUACUUUUGCACCUUGAAGAUUGAUACUCUCAUCACUAAAUUCACCUCAGUGAACUCAACAAGUAAAACCACAACACAAAAGGUUUUACUAUCAAAAUGCACUCACAAAUUAAAGUUCCUCAUUAGAAUAGAUUAAUUGCUCAAUCUUUCAAUACCAAAACUUAUACAAGUCUCUCAAUUAUAUAGAAUAUUUCAAUACUUGCUAAUAUAAGAAUAUUUAUAUCAAUCCUUAUUAAACAAUAAUGAAAUAAGCUAAAUACAAUUGAAUAAUACUAAACAAGGUAAACUUAUCCUAUUGAUAGCUAAGAAUGCAAUGUUCCAAUCCAAUCCAAUAUCCACAAUCCAGUGGAUUAGAUAGGGGUGAUUCGAUCCAAUCAAUCUUCUAAAUAUGUUUCCACAAGUAAUAUGAUCUUCCUUUAUGGGUUAGAUAUUAUCCACAUAAUCAUCACAACCCAUAAACACAUUUCAAUAAAUUGCCAACAACAAAUAUGGAAACUACCAUAAACUGUUGUAGUGAUCCAGGCAGUCGGCACUCCCUUAGACACUCAAUCAACCUUUCCAUAUUUUAAAACAAUAUUUGUGACAAGAAAAAUAAUUUACUUAAGUUGAUAAUGUCAUCAUUUUAAUAUGAAUUAGUAUUUUAUUACAUAUUAAAUUUUAGGAUAAACUACCUUAGUAGUCACUCAACUAUAUUUUUUUCUGUUUUGGCCAACCAAUUAUGAAAAGUUACAAAAUAGCCACUCAACUAUUUAACUUUGUCUUUUUUAAUUACCGAACUAUGUUUGAUUUUUGGGAGUUUCUAUUUUUACGUUAGCUAGCUGGUAACCAAAACGACAAUUUAAUAGUUGAGUGACAAAAAAAAAAUUAAGUGACCUCUAAUAUAAUUUACCCUAAAUUAAAUUUAUUUUAAUAUCUAAAAUAAAUCCUCCUCAUAACAUCGUUAAAAUGAUUCAAACUGAGGUAUAAAAUAAUCUCUAAAUUAAUCCAUGAAUUUACAGCCCUUUUUUGAGCACCACCUAAAUAUAUAUUUUGUCUUUUUUAUAGAAAUUUUAAUUUGUCUUCUUCUAAUUAACUAAUUAAAUUAAAUUUACCUUAAUUUUAACAAAAAUUAAGUCAUUACAGGAUUGAAUCCAAGUAAUCCAAAUGCAAAAAUAAAUUUCGAAUUCAAAACAACUUAAAAAUCACAUAACAGUCCGGGUCAAAUUCUACCUUAUAUAGCUUUUUUUCCCCUUAAAUGGAAUAAAAAUAAUUUAAUUUUAGGUAAGGGUUCACAUUAAAAAGUAAAUAAUUAUUUAUAUAAUUAAAAUUUUAACAAUCCAAUUAUUAUAUUUCAUGAUAUAUUCAUGACAAUUAAAACUUUUUCGAAUUCAAAACAUCUUAAAAGCUAUCCAACACAGCUGGCCCAAAUUCAACCUUGUAUAGCUUUCUUCCCCUAAAUGGGAUAAAAUUAAUUUUGUUUUAGGGGAGGAUUCAUUUACACAGUGUAAAAAUUAAAGUAGUUGUAUAUAUUUUCGUAACUAUUUAUAUAAUUAAUAUUUUGACAAUCCAAUCGCUAUAUUUCAUGGUCCAUUCAUGUAGAAGAUCAUGCAUGUAAAUUUGAUGUAAAUUGAAAACUUCUAACUAUUUGUUCUAUGUAAAAAAUUUCAACCGUUGAAUAUAUUUAUAUAUAUAUUAAUGUACAGAGUAUUUUAGAUUGAUAUAAUAAAUAUAUCAGAUCGAUUCAAAUUUUUACAUGUAUGACAAGUACAAUUAUAUUGAUAAAUUCAAUGAUUAGAUUGUUAAAAUAUUAAUAAUUUAAAUAGUUACGAAAAGUAUAUAAAACUAUUUUAUUUUACACUGUAUAAGCAAAUCCCUCUCUUAAUUUUAGUGUUUGAAUCAAUUAUAUAGUAAGAAUUUUAAUCCACAAAAAAAGUAUCAAGCAUGUUCCUUGUAACAGGCCUAUUUUGCCCAGCCCGGGCCCAAAUUAAACAACAAAAAAAAUCAAAUAAUAAAUAAUAUUAAAAUAGCACAAAUCACAACUCAAGUCUAAAACCUAACCCAAAACAUGGCCCAAAACAUAAAACUACAAAAAAAACCCUAGUGACCUAAGGUGCCGUGCCUCCAUGUGUGCCCUCGACGCGCACGGCGCUCGAGAUUCGACCCCGUUGCACUAAAACGGUCAUCUAUGGCCCCGUUGAUCCAUUGUGUGCCUGCAAAAAGAAGCAAAAAAAGGGAACAAAACAAGACAACAGAGCAAACAGGCGAAAACAGAGCAGAAACAAAGCAAUAAAACAACAAAGGCAUAGGCAAUAGCAAUAAUAUUAAAUCAAGUGUAUUUUUUGGCUAUAAAAGCCCGAAAAACAAUUUAUUUUGGUCACACAGAUCAGUAAAUCAAAACGCAGAAUAGAAAUUUGGAAAGGUUGUUGCUUUGAUAUUUUAACUUCUCUUAUUUUCUUGUUUCUUUUUGUUUUUCUAUUUUAUUUUUUUACAAAUUUAUUUUAAGUAUAAAAAAGAAAAAUAAAAAAAGAAAGAAAAGACUUACCUGAACUACUCUACGAUCUUGUCACCGGGAGCCCUUCCCCCAUGCCGAAAUCGGACCGAGAGGGGAUCAAUGGUCCUUUUCUUGUGUCAUUCUUGGGGAGAAGAGACUCAGCCUUCAAAGGGUUUCAAAAAGGAGUUAAAAAAACCCCAUUUUUACGUGACUCCGACCACCGCCCACGGUGGAGUCACGGUGGUCAGGCGAUGGCGCGAUGAUGGGUUAUAAAACCCUAGCAGUGAAAAUAGGGAGGGGUUUUUUUUAAUAUUUUUUUCAAAAAAGGAAGCAAAUGAAAAAAAAUAAAAAAAAAAGCUGGUUUAAAUAAAGGAACAAAACGGUG